UAAUAAGUGUUUUAUGGCACUUUUAAAUCCAUAUCCACCUUGUGUGCAAUGUCAGUCGAUCUUCUUCAUGGAGAUCGACCAAACAUCAACCUUUAUUUUUAACUCUUUGUCUGAAAAAUAUUAUGAAUAAACAAUUCAAAAUA
RNAcentral lists this unclassified non-coding RNA (143 nucleotides) under soil metagenome. RNAcentral's name for it is "partial internal transcribed spacer 1". The record is from RNAcentral.